CACACCUCCUUGGAGAAGUGCCAGGCCUCAGAGCACAAAGCAUCAGCUCUGGUGGGGUGACAAAGCCGUGGAGACGUAUCCUGCAAGUUGCUCUGCUGCUGUGUACAACUGAUUUGGAGUGACAGCAUACAGUGUCUCUUUGCAAAAUGAAAAUCAUUCCACAGAGCACUUCAAGGCUACCUUCAGAAGAUUUCAUUACCUCCUGUCACAAAUAGGAGACGGAGAAGCCAUGCAAACCAGGAACUGGACUGGAGAUGUUCUUUCCAUUUCUUCUGAAGAUAUUGCCUACCUUUAUCUUUAAGAACAGUAGUGUAAUUAGGACAUCUCUAAAGUAGUUGUCUGCAUCUCUUUGGCUAAACAACUUAUACAAAUAGAGGGGAGGAAUGUUAUGGAGAGGUAUGUAAGGAAUUACGGGCAAUAUGGCCACGCACAAGGUUUAUAAUAAGGAACCUGCACUCAGCUCCUCUGAGAUGUCCA
RNAcentral lists this long non-coding RNA (477 nucleotides) under Gallus gallus (chicken). Its description in RNAcentral is "long non-coding RNA NONGGAT007228". The record is from RNAcentral. Lineage: Eukaryota; Metazoa; Chordata; Aves; Galliformes; Phasianidae.